RNAcentral lists this ribosomal RNA (1372 nucleotides) under uncultured bacterium. RNAcentral describes it as "bacterial SSU rRNA". It matches the Rfam family "Bacterial small subunit ribosomal RNA", at positions 28 to 1381 of the family's 1533-position model. The record is from RNAcentral.
GAUGAACGCUGGCGGCGUGCCUAAUACAUGCAAGUCGAGCGAACGGACGAGAAGCUUGCUUCUCUGAUGUUAGCGGCGGACGGGUGAGUAACACGUGGAUAACCUACCUAUAAGACUGGGAUAACUUCGGGAAACCGGAGCUAAUACCGGAUAAUAUUUUGAACCGCAUGGUUCAAAAGUGAAAGACGGUCUUGCUGUCACUUAUAGAUGGAUCCGCGCUGCAUUAGCUAGUUGGUAAGGUAACGGCUUACCAAGGCAACGAUGCAUAGCCGACCUGAGAGGGUGAUCGGCCACACUGGAACUGAGACACGGUCCAGACUCCUACGGGAGGCAGCAGUAGGGAAUCUUCCGCAAUGGGCGAAAGCCUGACGGAGCAACGCCGCGUGAGUGAUGAAGGUCUUCGGAUCGUAAAACUCUGUUAUUAGGGAAGAACAUAUGUGUAAGUAACUGUGCACAUCUUGACGGUACCUAAUCAGAAAGCCACGGCUAACUACGUGCCAGCAGCCGCGGUAAUACGUAGGUGGCAAGCGUUAUCCGGAAUUAUUGGGCGUAAAGCGCGCGUAGGCGGUUUUUUAAGUCUGAUGUGAAAGCCCACGGCUCAACCGUGGGGGGUCAUUGGAAACUGGAAAACUUGAGUGUAGAAGAGGAAAGUGGAAUUCCAUGUGUAGCGGUGAAAUGCGCAGAGAUAUGGAGGAACACCAGUGGCGAAGGCGACUUUCUGGUCUGUAACUGACGCUGAUGUGCGAAAGCGUGGGGAUCAAACAGGAUUAGAUACCCUGGUAGUCCACGCCGUAAACGAUGAGUGCUAAGUGUUAGGGGGUUUCCGCCCCUUAGUGCUGCAGCUAACGCAUUAAGCACUCCGCCUGGGGAGUACGACCGCAAGGUUGAAACUCAAAGGAAUUGACGGGGACCCGCACAAGCGGUGGAGCAUGUGGUUUAAUUCGAAGCAACGCGAAGAACCUUACCAAAUCUUGACAUCCUUUGACAACUCUAGAGAUAGAGCCUUCCCCUUCGGGGGGCAAAGUGACAGGUGGUGCAUGGUUGUCGUCAGCUCGUGUCGUGAGAUGUUGGGUUAAGUCCCGCAACGAGCGCAACCCUUAAGCUUAGUUGCCAUCAUUAAGUUGGGCACUCUAAGUUGACUGCCGGUGACAAACCGGAGGAAGGUGGGGAUGACGUCAAAUCAUCAUGCCCCUUAUGAUUUGGGCUACACACGUGCUACAAUGGACAAUACAAAGGGCAGCGAAACCGCGAGGUCAAGCAAAUCCCAUAAAGUUGUUCUCAGUUCGGAUUGUAGUCUGCAACUCGACUACAUGAAGCUGGAAUCGCUAGUGAUCGUAGAUCAGCAUGCUACGGUGAAUACGUUCCCGGGUCU